AUGUACCACUCGUACACUCCGGUUCCUGUGCGCCGUCCACGCCCACCUGACGACCGCUCGCUACGUUUUGUUAGCC
RNAcentral lists this small RNA (76 nucleotides) under Xanthomonas axonopodis. RNAcentral describes it as "sX9". It matches the Rfam family "Xanthomonas sRNA sX9". The record is from RNAcentral. Lineage: Bacteria; Pseudomonadati; Pseudomonadota; Gammaproteobacteria; Lysobacterales; Lysobacteraceae. RNAcentral also lists the same sequence under 2 other names.